CAUAGAUAAGCUAAAGUAACGUAACCAGAGAAGUAGAGGUAAUCUACAGCCGCUGCACCCACUUCAUCCGGAUU
This 74-nucleotide transfer RNA is filed under the name Acinetobacter baumannii BJAB07104. RNAcentral's name for it is "tRNA-Asp". Lineage: Bacteria; Pseudomonadati; Pseudomonadota; Gammaproteobacteria; Moraxellales; Moraxellaceae. The record is from RNAcentral.